UACGUAGGGGCUAGCGUUGUCCGGAUUUAUUGGGCGUAAAGAGCGUGUAGGCGGCCAGGUAGGUCUGGUGUGAAAACUCGAGGCUUAACCUCGAGAUGUCAUCGGAAACCAUCUGGCUAGAGUCCGGAAGAGGAGAGUGGAAUUCCUGGUGUAGCGGUGAAAUGCGCAGAUAUCAGGAAGAACACCAAUGGCGAAAGCAGCUCUCUGGGACGGUACUGACGCUGAGACGCGAAAGCGUGGGGAGCGAACAGG
RNAcentral lists this ribosomal RNA (252 nucleotides) under uncultured bacterium. RNAcentral's name for it is "partial 16S ribosomal RNA". It matches the Rfam family "Bacterial small subunit ribosomal RNA", at positions 524 to 776 of the family's 1533-position model. The record is from RNAcentral.